ACGUAGGUGGCAAGCGUUGUUCGGAAUUAUUGGGCGUAAAGGGUCUUGAGGUGGCUAACCAAGUCUACUGUGAAAACUCAGGGCUUAACCCUGAAGCUGCAGCGGAAACUAGUAAGCUUGAGUACGGUAGGGGCGGAGGGAAUUCUCGGUGGAGCGGUGAAAUGCAUAGAUAUCGGGAAGAACACCAAUGGCGAAAGCACUCCGCUGGGCCGAUACUGACACUCACAGACGAAAGCUAGGGGAGCGAAUAGGA
RNAcentral lists this ribosomal RNA (253 nucleotides) under uncultured prokaryote. RNAcentral describes it as "partial 16S ribosomal RNA". It matches the Rfam family "Bacterial small subunit ribosomal RNA", at positions 525 to 777 of the family's 1533-position model. The record is from RNAcentral.